AUGUACAUUCCUACAACAUAGUGUUAAUGCACCGGAUACAAUUAAAACUCCGCAAUUAAGCGCGCUUAGGCUACAGUAGUACUGGGAUAGGUGACCACCCGAGAAGUCCUAGUGUUUUGCAUG
Picea glauca (white spruce) is the source of this 123-nucleotide non-coding RNA. The record is from Rfam. NCBI's taxonomy places the organism in Eukaryota, Viridiplantae, Streptophyta, Pinopsida, Pinales, Pinaceae.